Oncorhynchus tshawytscha (Chinook salmon) is the source of this 1203-nucleotide long non-coding RNA. RefSeq lists it as uncharacterized. The record is from RefSeq and is a predicted model, not a curated record. The transcript has 3 exons. Lineage: Eukaryota; Metazoa; Chordata; Actinopteri; Salmoniformes; Salmonidae.
AACUUGUUCUCAACUAGCCUACCUGGCUAAAUAAAGGUGAGAAAAAAAACAAGGCCUUAUUUUGAUGUUUUAUGGGCCACAUCAGGCCUGCAAGUAUGGUUGCAAAAAUUACACAACUUUCCCAGUAAUUCUGACUAGCCACAGUAAUCACAUUAUUGUGUGCAUGUAUCUGUACUCAUUGGCUCAUAGUCUUUUAGAUUGAGUUCUGAUAUUUGGCAAGUGUGGUAAUGAGUACAGAAAUAGCUCAUCCCAGGGUAAUGUGUCAUUUUUUUUUACCGAUGUUCGUCUUAUGAGGCCAAAUUCUGAACCUCGGCAUGGAUGCUUGCAGCUAUAUUUAGAGUUGAAUUUGAAUGAAUGUUUAGAAUUUUUGGUGACCGGGUGCAGUACUUGUUAGACAGGUUCAUUGUGGUAGGAGUAGCUUUUGAAUAUGUUUUGAAUAUUUGAAACUUCCUUCUUCACCUUCACUUUCCCCGAUGUGACGGUCAUGGAUGUACAUGUAUUUUUUGAAGCUUUGUUUUUGUAAUAUAUUGAUUUAAUAUUUUAGUGUGUAGAUUUCUUUUUGACCAUUACCAAGGAUUUUCUGGAAACAUGACCCAACACAUUGGCACCUCUAAGAAAGAUCACCCAUCAAAUCUGAACAACUGGUGUUUUGUCCACAAGAUGGAAAAAGGUUCAGUGUGCUAACAACCCGCUGGGUAAUCCUGGAGUGGUGGUCUACUACCUGUGUACAUGUCCCCUGAACCAGACACCUCUUCAUGGAGAGAGGAGAUUAACGAUGAUGAGGAACCCAUGGAGGACAACCAACACACACACACACUGUGUGCCUUAUUUGAUCAUUUUAUACAAUGCCUGUUUUACAUAUUUGGGGGGUUUUAAAGGGCAAUCCCACUAAAGUAAUGCAUGUCUAUUGACUGUUCAGUGAUGAGCAAAUUGGUAAACUGAAGCAAAGAUCAUACGCCAAGACAUAACCUCUGUGGUUAAUGGUAAUAGUGAGAGAUUAGCAUGUCUUGGGGGUAUGAUCUUUGACCCUCUGUAACAUUCUCACUCAUCAUAAUUCACAAUUCAUUCAGGAUUAUCUCUAAUCAUUGUUGUAUCCAUUGUCAGUGGCAUCAUUAGGCCUUGGCUUCCAAUGCUGUUUUUGAUGGUAAAAGAAAAAUGUCAGUCUGAUAUGCGUUUCAAUAAACACACAUCAUUUGCACUAUA